Molossus molossus (Pallas's mastiff bat) is the source of this 164-nucleotide small nuclear RNA. RefSeq annotates it as U1 spliceosomal RNA. NCBI's taxonomy places the organism in Eukaryota, Metazoa, Chordata, Mammalia, Chiroptera, Molossidae. The record is from RefSeq and is a predicted model, not a curated record. The transcript has a single exon.
AUGCUUACCUGGCAGGGGAGAUACCAUGAUUGUGAGGGUGGUUUUCCCAAGGCAAAGUUUAUUCAUUGCACUCCAGAUGUGCUGACCCAUCGAUUUUCCCAAAUGUGUGGAAACUCAACUGCAUAAUUUGUGGGUGUGGGAGACUGAAAAAAAAAAAUUUUUUU